This is a long non-coding RNA of Peromyscus californicus insignis, 2179 nucleotides long. RefSeq lists it as uncharacterized. The record is from RefSeq and is a predicted model, not a curated record. NCBI's taxonomy places the organism in Eukaryota, Metazoa, Chordata, Mammalia, Rodentia, Cricetidae. The transcript is spliced from 3 exons.
CUUUCCAAUAGGCCUGGCCACGCUCUCUUCUGUCCCUCCCCUCUCCCUUCUAAUAAAACUCUGCUCUGAUAACGGGUUUUGUCGUGCCUCACACAGUGACAGCGCCACUUACUAAACCAACAUUGGUGCUGUGACGAAGCAGGCUCUCCCAGCGCUCUGCGUCUGGAACCCUGUGUCGAGGUUUUGCUCCAUCUGCCCACUUUUUUCAUUUGCCCAGCUGCCGGACUGCGACGUACAACACACUGGCUGCCCAGAUUGGGGUACCUGAUGGGAAGAGAGUUUCCAGCUAAGGGACACAGACAGGGCCCUGCUCUCUCUCUCAAGUUCCAGAGGACCUCAGGAUCCACUGCCUUGUCACCAAUUCCAGAAGAAUGAGGUCUCACCCCACAAGCUUUUCUCUUCCUGGUUCCCUCUUCUAAUUAACUACUCAGCUAAUUGUUACAAGAUCACCAUAGAGCUGGAGUCCAAGGACCAUCAGGUAUAUACCCAGGUGGUAAGGAACACUAACAGUCCAGAGGUAUUUAAUAUUACUCUGUUAUAUUAAAGUCUGUAUUUUGCAAUCUAUUAAAUGCCCUCAGCAAUUGAUCACCUGUGUCUCCUGGAUGCCAAACUAAUAAAGGAAGCGGGUGCCUUAAAAUAAUCUGUCUCUGAUAAAGCUUAUCUCAGGUAAAAUUAAAAACAUGUUCCAUCUCUCUCUCUCUCUCUCUCUCUCUCUCUCUCUCUCUGUCUCUCUCUCACACACACACACACACACACACACACACACACACACACACAAAUCAAUAUAAGCAGAGUACUAAACACUACAAUGUCAUGGUCACCAGCCCAAGACUUUUAAUUUUCUCGUGGCUGCUUCUUAAUGUUUAAAAUUUUUUCCUAAGCUCCAGAAACCAGCUUGAAUCCAUAUGGACAAGUCAGAUCUGCUUCAGAUAAGUGCAACCCAAACUUUCCUGGUCCCGGGAUUCCCUCACCCCCACCCUCCCAUCCCACCCCACCCCCACAAAGGAAAAAAUAAAAAUAAUAAUAAUUCUUUUUUCUAAGCUUUUCUCUGUCUCACCAGCCCCUCUCAGAUACAGGCAGCCAGAGUCCCAGGCCAAGAGGGAUGAUGGACAGGUCUAAGGCAGCACACGACAGCCCAUCAUCCCAGGACGCCUGUCUACCUCAGAAGCCCCCUUCCCUACACCCCCCCCCCCCCAGGAGUCAACCGAUGUCCACCAAGUCAGCUGGAAGCAGUUUUCAGGAAACACGACACCCCAUACCCGCCCACCUGCCUCUUUUAUAAGCAAAAAGUCUGAAAUGUUAAGAUUCCAGCCACUCCUCCAGCUCUAUGACCGCACAUGCGCAGUUCAGUAGCCAAGCAAGGGGUCUUAUGUCAUAUCAUCCGUGCACUGCGCACAACAAGGUCAUGCAAUCUGUGCAUGCAUGUGAUAGCUCCGUAAACGUACAUGCACAGGGGAAUAUUUAAAAAGCCAGUCACAGAUUCCUGCCCCCUCUCCCUUCUCCUCACGUGUCUUUCCAACAGGCCUGGCCAUGCUCUCUUCUUCCCCUCCCCACCCCAAUAAAGCUCUGAUACUGGGUUUUGUCAUGCCUCAUGACCUUUCUCGCACGGUAACAACGCUGCCUAUAAAACCAACAGGGUACUUCUUUUGGUAUGAGAUGCCUACAUUUUGUUUUGAACAACUAUGGAACAGCAGUUACACUAACAGCCAAUGGAACAGUACAAGUGAUACUGUACUGUACUGUUAGCCAACUUUAGUAAGUACAGAAAUAUCAAUCUCAAAACACUUCACAGGAAUGCUAUUUCUGUUUGGAGACACCAGUCAGAGGCAUGCCAGUGAGAAACUGAACUGACACAAAGCCUAGAACACACUUCUGGCUUCACACCAGUGAGAACCCAGACUGACACAAACAAAACCUAGAACACGCUCUGGCUUCACACCAGUGAGAACCCAGACUGACACAAACAAAACCUGGAACACGCUCUGGCUUCACACCAGUGAGAACCCAGACUGACACAAACAAAGCCUGGAACACGCUCUGGCUUCACACCAGUGAGAACCCAGACUGACACAAACAAAGCCUGGAACACGCACACGUCUGGCACAGAAGGGGCAACUCAUUUCUUGGAGAAGUAUAAAAGCACAGAGUAAGGAAGUGGGGCAAGAACAAAACUGGGACA